Long non-coding RNA from Pistacia vera, 650 nucleotides. RefSeq lists it as uncharacterized. Lineage: Eukaryota; Viridiplantae; Streptophyta; Magnoliopsida; Sapindales; Anacardiaceae. The transcript has 2 exons. The record is from RefSeq and is a predicted model, not a curated record.
AAGUGUUCAUUGGAGGAAUUUGUAUUCUGGAUUUAUAUAAUUGGCAAGCCUAGUUUGUUUUAUUACUUAAGUCAGAGAUGACCUUUUUUUGUGUAUAUGUACUAAUUUGUAUGUUUUGCUCCUAGAAAGAGAAAAAAAUUUACAGAGUUUCUAAUCUGCAGUCUUAUAAACUUCUCUCAUGAUUGAAUGUACCAAAUGCCAUCCUUAUAUUUGUUUUAGGGAAUGACUGGUCCUGAGGUGAAAGCUGCCGCAGGGGUUUAGCAAGAAUCGAGUUUGAUUAAUCGACUGCACAGUGCAUGGGCCCGUUUAAGGUUGGGUUGCCAGUGAACAGUUUGUGAAGGAUUGAUAAAGAACUGGGACCGUACACCUGAUCGAACUUCAGUUGGAUUCAUUAACACAGAUUUCUUGUUUUGGCCGUUGAGAAGCGCAGGCAAAAGAACCUGUGGUUCUAUAAUUUUGUAGCGUGAUUUUGCACUGUCCAACAUGGGAAUGAGCAGAAUAGCGUUUUAAAAUGGGAUUGUUUUAAUAAAUUUGUUAGUAUUUAUUUUCUUUUUUUUAUACCUUCAUACUUGUUCGUUUUCACAGAAAUGUAAUGUUAAUUUAAAUAAGUACAGAAUGUAAGUUUUCCUUGCUUCUAGUUGUGCGAUCAA